GCGACACUGAGUCAAAGCAAGCCUUUGGAUUUGACUAAUUCUUUCUGAAAAUCAUCACAUGUCUUUGAGGACCCUUGUAGACUCACUUGAUCUUUUUGGGUGAAUGGAAUAUGGUGCCAUAUGGAAGUUUCCAAUAGGUGUCCAGAGAGUAAAGGAGCAAGGAUUCAUAACUGACAGACAUUUUCACAGAUAGCGAGGAGAGAGCCUACUUUUUAAUGAAAGGUGAGUCAAAAAAGUCUUGCUUUUUCUUCCCACCUUCUCUUUAUAAAAGAUGAGUCAGGCCUUGAAGAACUUUCCCCCGAUGUUGUGAGAUUUACUGGGCCUCCACUGGGAGGAAUAUACAGCCCCCAUCCUACCGAUGCAGGAGUUGAUCUAUGUGCCUUACUUUGGCCCCGGGAUGUGAUUGGAUACACCCUGGACAUGACUGAGCACAAGCUUUAAGAACCAGGGAAGAUUUAAGAGCCAGCCAUCUUGCUCUUUCUCUCUGCGACGCAAAAGCUCAUGUCUCAAGUAGGAGCCACUUCUUCACCCAGAAUCUUGGAACAAAGACAACUUAUGCGAGAGUGAAGAACGACAGCUGAUCUGGAGCCACCACCAUGUAACAAGAAUGAGAAAUGGACUGUUGUGUGUGUAAGCCAGUGAGAUUUUUAAAGUGUCAUUGCUGCAUA
This is a long non-coding RNA of Canis lupus familiaris (dog), 668 nucleotides long. RefSeq lists it as uncharacterized. The record is from RefSeq and is a predicted model, not a curated record. The transcript has 3 exons. Lineage: Eukaryota; Metazoa; Chordata; Mammalia; Carnivora; Canidae.